Molecule: unclassified non-coding RNA, 169 nt
Filed under: rhizosphere metagenome
Description: partial ribosomal RNA internal transcribed spacer region
Source: RNAcentral
AAUAAGUGUUUUAUUGCACUUUUUUAAAUCCAUAUCCACCUUGUGUGCAAUGUCAGCCGUUUUCUUUAUGAAAGCGGCCAAACAUCAACUUAUUUUUUAACUGUCAGCCUGGAAACUAUUAUGAAUAAACAAUUCAAAUACAACUUUCAACAACGGAUCUCUUGGCUCU